Homo sapiens (human) is the source of this 908-nucleotide long non-coding RNA. RefSeq annotates it as AFAP1L1 antisense RNA 2. The transcript is spliced from 2 exons. The record is from RefSeq and is a predicted model, not a curated record. Lineage: Eukaryota; Metazoa; Chordata; Mammalia; Primates; Hominidae.
AAGGCACACUUCUGUGCUUCAUAUUUCUAAAAUCAGGUUGCUUCUUACUACAUUAAGUGUAUACAUUAUUGUGAUGCUUUUUCAUCCUCCAAAACAAGUUAUUAAAUUGAUGGCACUUUCUUUAAUUGGGAGGAAUGAUGAUGAUAAUGAUGAAGAGGAGAAGAAGAGGAGGAGGAGGAGAAGGAGGAGGGGAGGAGAAGCCCACUUCUCUUGGGUCAUAAAAGACCUUGCAGCAUCAGCCUUGCUGUUCCUUCUUGGGUUGCUUGCUCUGGGGGAAGCCAGCUGUCACAUCACAAGGAUAAGCAACUCUAUGAAGAAAUCCCCAUGGCAAAGAACUGAGGCCUCCUUCCAACAACCAGCACAAACUUGCCAGGCAUGCAGUGAGCCAUCUUAGAAGUGGAUCCUUCAGCCUGUCAAGCCUUUAGGUGACUUCAGAUGACCGGCCAACGUCUUGAGAUCUCAUGAGAGACCCCAAGCCAGAACUAUCUAUCCAAGCCAUUUGGAGAUUCUUGACCCACAGAAACCGUGUGACAUAACACAUGUUCCUGCUUAUUGUUUAGAGGAGCUAAAUUUUGGGUAAUUUCUUAUGUAGCAAUAGGCAAUUAAUACAUGAUCGUGGGCAAAAUCCUUUGGCUAUAGACUAGAUGUUUACAUCCCCCAAAAUUCAUAUGUUGAAACCUAAUCCCCUUCGAGAUGGCACUUGGAGGUGGGGCCUUUGGUAGGUGAUUAGGUCACGAGGGUGGAGCCCUCAUGGGUAGGAUUAGUGCCCUUAGGAAAGAGACCCCAGGGAGCAAAAAGAUGGUCAUCACCAGGAAACAGGCCCUCACCAGACACCAAAUUGGCUGCCACCUUGAUCUCAGACUUCCCAGCCUCCAGAACAAUGAGAAAUAAAUUUCUGUUAUUUAUAA